UCCGGUUUAUCACCGGCAGUCUCCACAGAGUCCUCGGCUUUACCCGUUAGUAACACGGGGCAAGGGUUGCGCUCGUUGCGGGACUUAACCCAACAUCUCACGACACGAGCUGACGACAGCCAUGCAGCACCUGUGCUGGUGUUCCGAAGAAGGGCCCCUGUUUCCAGAGGCUUUCACCAGCAUGUCAAACCUAGGUAAGGUUCUUCGCGUUGCUUCGAAUUAAACCACAUACUCCACCGCUUGUGCGGGCCCCCGUCGAUUCCUUUGAGUUUCAGCCUUGCGGCCGUACUCCCCAGGCGGGGCACUUACUGCGUUAGCGACGGCACUCAGAGGGUCGCUCCCCCAAGCACCUAGUGCCCAUCGUUUACGGCGUGGACUAC
RNAcentral lists this unclassified non-coding RNA (380 nucleotides) under uncultured Gemmatimonadota bacterium. RNAcentral describes it as "uncultured Gemmatimonadetes bacterium contains 16S-23S intergenic spacer region". The record is from RNAcentral. Lineage: Bacteria; Pseudomonadati; Gemmatimonadota.